UACAGAGGUCCCAAGCGUUGUUCGGAUUCACUGGGCGUAAAGGGCGCGUAGGUGGCGCGGGAAGUCAACGGUGAAAGUUCGGGGCUCAACCCUGAAUCGGCCGUCGAUACUCCCGGGCUCGAGCACUGUAGAGGCAGAUGGAAUUCCGGGUGUAGCGGUGGAAUGCGUAGAGAUCCGGAAGAACACCGGUGGCGAAGGCGGUCUGCUGGGCAGUUGCUGACACUGAGGCGCGACAGCGUGGGGAGCAAACAGG
Molecule: ribosomal RNA, 253 nt
Filed under: uncultured bacterium
Lineage: Bacteria
Description: partial 16S ribosomal RNA
Rfam family: Bacterial small subunit ribosomal RNA
Source: RNAcentral